Molecule: long non-coding RNA, 5248 nt
Filed under: Sus scrofa (pig)
Lineage: Eukaryota; Metazoa; Chordata; Mammalia; Artiodactyla; Suidae
Description: lncRNA (ENSSSCG00030063740.1)
Source: RNAcentral
ACCUGUGGCAUAUGAAAGUUCCCAGGCUAGGAGUUGAAUCAGAGCCACAGCUGCUGGCCAUGGCUACAGCCACAGCAGUGCCAGAUCUGAGCCACAUCUGUGAUCUACACUGCUGCUCACAGCAACACUGGAUCCUUUCACCAACUGAGUGAGGCUGAGGAUGGAACACACAUCUUCAUGGAUGCCAGUCAGGUUUUUAACUGGCUGAGUCACAACGGGAGCUCCUCCACAGCUUUCAGGAGGGGUCGCCACUACAUCUAAGGUUUCUUUUUCAUUCGUGGCAUCUAGAAAAUACGUCCUGUUUUAUUUACAAUAAAAAACAAUAUAACAAUAAAAGCAUUAGAGUUGUGGUAGUUUAAAUUUGGAGGGGAAGUGCUCACAUCUAUUUAUGCUGCGAUUUUGCCUGUAAAUUUCUUUUAAAGGCCAUUAUAACAUUGCCAUUGACCUCACUGCUAAGAUUUUCUAAGAAUUUAGUUUGGCAAGUGCACACAAUUCUUAGGAUGCUCAUUGCAAGAGAGAAAUUAUAAAGACCCUAAAUCCCCUAUAAGAAGAUAUCUCCAAAUAAACAAUGUAUAAAAAUAAAAUGGAGUAUUAUAGUACCAGGACAUAUGUUGUUAAUGAAUGUUUAUUUUCACAGGGAAUAAAAUUAUGUUAAGAUUAUUAAGAUAAUAGUGACUUUUAUAGACUACUUGCUCUGUGCCAGAUUCUACUCUAAGUGAUUCAUAUAUAUAUGUGUGUGUGUGAGUGUUUGUGUGUGUACUCAACUCAUUUAAUCCUCAAAACAACCCUAUGAUGCCUGUAGUAUUAUUUUUCUUCCAUUUUACAGAUGAGGAGACUGCUAUAGAAAGUUAAAUAACUUGCCCAAGGUAACAAACAAUUAAUAUGACAUAUUUGUGUAAAAUAUGGACACAUACACCCAUAGUUAUAAAAUAUUUCUCUUGAUUGAAGAACACACUGGGAAAUAUAUCUUUGGUCAUGUCUGAGGAACAGUAGUAGGAGGGAGACUGAAGUUUUGAUCCAUGCGAGUGGAGUACUUAUCUUAAAAUUAAAUAAAUGGAGAAGUGACCUGGACUGUGUCUACUAUUUAUGGGAAUGCAAAGAAGAAUACUGGGAAGUUCAGACAGAGGAAUCACAUGGAGGUAAAUGGUCUGGGCCAAUGUGAAGGACAGUGAGUACUUGUGGCUGGUCAGAAUGCAGAGUCCAGGAAGUAGAAUGAUGAGGACAUAACAUGGAUCAAUUUAUGCUUGAUACUCAUCUUUUAGAACGCUAUUGCUCAUUGUUUAUACAUGAUAGAUUUGUCAUAUGGACAUAAUGCCAUUGUGAUAACAGGUUUUUGCAAGCUGCGAUUUACUCUUUUUCAUGGUUUCAUGUUCUUCUAUUCCUUUUCUCCGAACUUUUUCUUUUUUUUAGGGCUACUCCUGCAGCAUAUGGAGGUUCCCAGGCUACAGGAUAGGGGUCUAAUUGGAGCUAUAGCCGCUGGCCUAUGCUACAGCUCACAGCAACGCCAGAUCCUUAACCCACUGGGCAAGGUCAGGGAUUGAACCUGCAACCUCAUGGUUCCUAGUCAGAUUCGUUUCCGCUGCGCCAUGACGGGAACUCCUUCUCUGAACAUUAUAUACGUAUUUUAGAAGAAACCAGAUUUUACAAUUGGAGGUAAAAUUAUUUUGUUGAAAAAUAUUUCCCUUCUGUUACUUGUGCCUUUAAAAAAUAACAAGGUGUUAUUCUUUUUCUUCCAAAUUCUUAGUGGAUAAUUUGUUUUCUUUUCAAAAUUCUCACAAUUAAUUCAUUUCUAAGAUACUCCCAGAGAGCAUUUUGUCUCAUUAAACCUCCUGUCCUGGAUGAGGAACUUGGAAAUAGUUUGUCUCAGAUUGAAAUAUCUUUGCUAUGCAAGUUUACACGGGGAGCAGAGCCAAUGAUGACCAUAGGGAAUACUUAAGAACUUGUUCUAACCUUGAGGACAAGAAGAGAUUAUUUCCCCAGGAUAAAAAGUAAGCAUUCUGGUAAUUUGGGGGUAUUGUAAAGAGGGAGGAAAAAAAAAAGAGAGAAGAAAAACAAAAACAACAGCAACAAAACUUACCUAUUUAAGAAUCAAAAUCUGGAUGCUGAAACUGGCUGAAUCUUUGAUGAGCUGUGUGAUGACAUGGCAGUUCCCCUCCUGCAAUACAUACUGUUACAGUAUGGGUGCAUCUUUUGCGUCAGAGUGAGAGGUUUUAUAUUAUAUUAGAACAAUUCUAUCCUAAUUUGAAGGGUGCAUCUGAUAAUGGGAACUGGAGUCAACUACCACAUUCUAAGUGCAUUUCUAGGUCAUAGGACAAGCCUUAGUUAAAACUGCUGAGAAUAUUCUAGUUCUCUUUGAGAGUGUGAUUCUAGAAAUCCAACUUCAGAGCUGUGUCAUACUGCCGUGACAUACAGCCAUACCCUGGUGAUGGAUGAGAGAGUAUUUAGAUAGGGAAAGGGAUUUGGAAGGUAUGUAUUUCACCGCUCACGCUCCUAGAAUAUCAGUGGACUAUUUGUUCAUCUUUACAUCAACACAUGCAAUAAUUAAUGUAGUUUAAAAACAUCUUAAUUUCUAUUUAAGUUCUCACAUAUUGUUUUUCAAACUGUCUUUGGUUAUUCUUGACUGAAUUUUCAUACAUACCUCAAAAUUAACCUCUUGGUUUCUACAAAGAGGAGUUCUCUGGUGAUGCAGUGGGUAAAGGAUCCAGCAUUGUCACUCCUGUGGCUCAGGUUGCAGCUGUGGCACAGGUUCAAUCCCUGGCUGGCCCUGAAACUUCUGCAUGCCACAGGCAUGGCCAUGUUUUCAAUCCUAGUUCUUGUAAUUUAAUUUUCAUUAUGGAGGUACAGUUACUACUUUCUCUUAACAUAAGAACAUGGGUAAAAUCUCUUAAAUGAGAUAGAAAAAUUUUAUUCUAUCCAACAGAUGUUAGAGCAAUGAAAGGAAUAUUAGGUAAAUACAAGCCUCUGAAUUGUUGUUGAUGUUGUUGUUUUUUAGUGGCCACACCUGUGGCAUAUGGAAGUUCUCAGACCAGAGCUUGAAUCCCUGCUGCAGCUACGACCUAGACCUCAGUUGUGGUAACCCAGGUCCUUUUAACCCACUGAGCCAGACCACUGCAGUCAGGUUCUUAACCCACUGUACAACAGCAUGAACUCCAAAUCUUUGAGGUUUUGAACUUGCAUUUAAUUUAUUAUUUUCAGGGCAUUAAUAUAAUCUUUUAUGUUACUUUUUAACAAUUAGCUUUAAUGUGGAAGUUCAAUUUUUUUGGUCACACCCUUGACACGUGGAAGUUCCCAGGCCUCUGGGAUCAAAUCCGUACCACAGCAAUGACCUAAGCUGCUACAGUGACAACGAUGAAUCCUUGACCCAUUAAACUGCUACUGAUCACCUAGGUCAAAAAUGGCCUUUCCUCAUUGCAUUCUCAGAACUCUUUGUUCUUCUCUCAUGUACUCACCUCAUUCUGCUUUGUAUUUAUAUAAAUGACUUUCUAGCAAGACUGAGAACAUCUUGAUAGUAGGAACUGGUUAUUAUAAAUGCAAUAUUCAUGAUACCUAGUCCAAUGUCCUGCAAAGGAUGAGUGCUUACUGCUUCUCUGAUAAAUAAAUGAAUUAAUGGGAAUUCAGUGAGUAGAGAAAAUAUCAAUAUAUCCAUGCGUUUGGGAUUACAAAGGAGAUAGAAAGAGGAUGUCCAAUAGGGAAAAAAAAUCCAGAUGGUUGUUCCUCUUAAACGUGAUAAAAUUGAGCAUCAAUAACAAGAAAAUUCUGACCCUUGUUGCUGAUGUGUUUGUCGUUUCCAUAUAAUGACGGUUGUCCCUCCCAGUGUGCUCUGCUGGGGCUGGGAUGACUGUCUACACACUCUGGGGACAAUGUGUUCUGUAUGGCCUCACAGACGGAAACAUGGGCUAUGCUCUAAGUCUUAUCGGAUUUUGAAUCAAUGCUUUUACCUUCUCUUUAAGAUAAGCCAAAAGUUUCAUUCUUUGAAGAAAAGUGAGAAUGUGGCUUGUUUAUUGUGAGAACAUAGGUCAUCUGAAAAGGCAAACAAUUUUCAAAUUAAAGAUGGUAUCUUGUGGAUUGGCAGAAACAGGAAUGUGAAAUCUGUCCAGGGUUGCAGGAAGAGCCCGCCUUUCUCUGGUUGGGAGCUACUGCUGCCUCAUCUUGGAAUCUACAUACAGAAACUCAAUCUUUUAGUGUCUUAGUACGUUAGCAUUCAAGUGGGAAAGAUAAUUUUCUUGCAUUAUGGUAAGGAUUAUAUAUGAGCUAAUGGCUAUGGACAUGCUCUGUGAAUCAUAGCAUAUGGAUGAUUGUGAAAGAAUGUUUAUAUUGGAAACAACCACUGAUGUGGUUGACAAAUAAUUGAACUGGGAAUUUAAAGGCCUGAAGCUGAGAUCUGCAAAAUUAAAAGCUGACUUUCUCUGGUCCAAGCAGUGGCGGAUGGAGAGAGGGCUGUGGCUCCUCUUGCUUGGCCUCUCCUUACCCCAGAGUCUCCAUAGAAUAGAAAUUGUAAGUCACCGUCUUAUCUCAUUUGAUCCCCACUGCUCACUUAUGUUUAUUAUUAAUCCUACUUUAGAGAUCACAAGCUGAAACUUGUAUGCCUUGCCCCAGGUCACAUAAUCAAUAAAUGCUUGAGCUAAAGCCUCUACACAGGUCAUCUGAUUGUAAACUAUAUGUUUCUAGGAGAGAAGGUGACUCUCUUCACUCUGUGAUGACAGCUAGGGAAUAAUAAUCCUAUGCAUUUACAAAAACUGACUCUAGGCUUUCAAAAUGGAGAAUUUUGUGUGAUUAUGAAAGUGCAAAUCCUCUUAUGUUUAUAAACUUGUAAACUCUGAGGAGAAUGAAUUAUUUGACAGACAGAACAACUGGUCAUCUAUCAUUGCAGAGUAAGGGAGACAGUGUUUGCUGGUAGAAUUUAUGACUUUGAUGUCUCAUUCUAUAUUGUCCCUUUGGAGAUGUAGGUAAGCUUAAUUUAUAUGAUCUGCAUCCACACAGUUUCAUUUCCAUUUUACAAAUAUCUACAGCAAAUCUCAGAGUAUUCUUAGAUUUAUCACUAAAAUUUUAGAUUGGAAGAAACUUUAAAUAGCCUUUUAGUUCAAUACCUGCAUGACACUUUAACCCUCUCUUUGAAAUCAUUGGACUGUGUUCACUCUAGUGCUGUUUGUAUCUCCUUUAGUAAAAGGGCUGUGAGUCUACGGCAGGGGCACAGUGCAGGAAGGCCAUGGGGACUGGGAUCAGAUGUAAGCUGAAAUCCCACUUCUGU